GUGGGCAAAUCUUUUCCGCAGCCUUCGAGCAGGGGUUUUCUUGUCUUGAGGGUCUUCAAGCUUCGAAACCCUUUUUCUUUUGUUGUCCUUCUCAAACUUCGGGAUUGAAAACUUGGUCCCUUCCCUGGGCGUUGCCGGCCUCAUCUCGGAUACAUCUCCGAGGCCUACACAAGUAAACGUGAAUAAGUUGACGCCACCAACAUAUGAAAAGUAUUUGAAACUUGGGAAAAACACUUACUAUAAUUUUUGGCCUCUCACUGGCCCUUUGAUAAUUCGUGCCAUUUGCGCUCAUCAUACGAGGAUGUCGCUGCCAACUUUCAGACCCAAUUUUCGAGAUCAGGAACAACAAGGGGUAUCCAAGCAACAACUGCAAAAAAUAUAAAAGUAUUAUUAUGGGAUAUGGAAAUGGAGUAUAUAUAUAGAUAUUAGGAAGAAGGACUCCACUUACGAUUGUAAUUCCAUUUCUCUAGGAACAACAUUUUUGUUCCGGGGAAUGACAUCUGAAGCCUUUACUAUGACAAACCAGCUCAUCCAACCCCGAUCCUUUACUUCGUCGCUGCUGGCGAAGAAGGUUUUCUUUGUGCGAUGUUGUAGCUUGACAAGCCCUCGAAAUAGCUAGUGCCGGUACAACCGAAUCAGGUGGUUGAGGGUGAAUUCCAACCCCUCAACCUUUUCGGAAAAAUAGCACAACAUGAUUAUGAUGCGCCAAAAAGAGGGGUGAAUCUAGCCAAGGGUGAUUUCAUACAUUUUGGAGAAAUCAAUCACCACCAGAUCAAGGGGAUCCAGUGUGAAGGGGUAAGUGUAAACACUUAAAAACUCCUCCAUGUGGGUAGUAAUGCUUUCCUUGGGGCUCGGAAUCUGAAUCACGACCUCAUCUCCCCAGCCACAGUCUUUCUUCACGUCCUUAAGGUGCUUCUUCGGUAUCAAGCUGAGAUAUCAAGAUGCAUGCUCGCAUCAGCCUGGGACGUCGGGGGGAUUUUCAAUACUAAAGUCCUUUUUAAUUAUACAAUGGCCAGAGGUGAAUUCCUCAAGAGUUGGCGGCGCCAUCGAUUUGGCCGAUUGGGAAGUAGAAGAAGAUGAUGCCUUUUCCUUUUGAGGGACUAUUAUAGAAGUUUUCGCCAUGGUUUUGGGUUACAAAAGACGGCAAGGCCUGGUUGUUACCGGUACUAAGAAGACGGUAGUAGCAGAAAAUAAAGAGAACAGAUUAAGAGAGAGAGGUAUGGAGUAGGUACAAAGAUGCUUGAAAAUUGAAGUAAAGCUUUCUUAAAGGUAGGACCUUAUAUUUAUAGAUGGUCGGCGACGGUUCAACAACGCUAGCAGCCGACCAACACUGGCGUGCAUUUAAUAUUUUGGGGAAGCGAACCGACAGGACAUUUCAGUCACUUCAAGUGCCUACCUCACGAGAGUGACAUCAUCGUUAUAGACUCCGAAGGAUUAAGGUUCAAAUCAUUUCUUAUCAUCUUAUUCUAAGAAACACGAGUACUAUUUGUAUACGGUCGAGAUAGAAUGCCUUCGAUCCAUGUAUUCAUAAGAUCGUCCGAAGUCCGAGUCCGGGCGAGGUCAAGUUCGAGACCGGCUGACUAGACUUGAGCUUAAAUACAGAGUGCAAUACCCGGGGAUGGGAGUUCGAGGAAUACAAGGGCCAAGUAUGCUCGACCCAAAAUAGUAUCGUCAUGGAUUUGUACCAGAAUGAGCUAGAUUUCUGCCACGUCCCCAAAGUCAUGGCGCAAAUCCCGAAAUAGGAUUGUAUGAUUUCGUACUAGGCAGUUAUACAGAUGUACCAAGAAUAUUCCUUACUGUAAAGAGAAAUAUUCCUUAUUUAGGGUUCCCCAAUUAUAUAAACGGGACCCCAAUCAUUUGUAACAUCAUCUAAUCAUUGAGCAAAGAAUAUACUCUCUACUUUUAGCCUACCGUCCAUCAGAAUUGUCCUUUAGCUUUAUUGUUCUUACUUUGCUUUUCUUACUCAAUUGUUCUUACUGGCCUUAGCCAUCUUGAGGUCACUAAGCUCGACGUCAAUGCUGCUAAGUAACAUUGAUUUGAUUUACUUCUAUCUUUCAUUUCUACUUCAUAUCUCUUGAUUAUUAAUUGGUAUUGAACUAAAUAACAUAGCUUUAAAACCACUAAUCAAAUUUAAUUGUUACUCGUAUUUUCGAGAUAAACAAGUUGAAAAGUUUGAAGUCAACUUUUAUGCAAAGUUGGCAAGUUAUUUUUGCCGAGUUGUUCUUUAAGCAAUGUUUUCUUAGGGGUGUCAAUGGUUUGAUUUAACCGGCAAUUUUAUAAAAUUUGUACAAAACUAAUUUUUCAGUUAUUUUAUUUUGUAUAACAAAAAUUAGACUUUUUUAAACCGUUACAAUCAUCUCGAUUUUUCUUCGGUUUGGCUUGGUUCGGUUAAUUUUUGGUAUUUUUCUCAAAAUAUCACAGAAAAGUCGCUAAUAAAAGUUAGAAUACGAUAAGAUACGUACUUACUUAGGACUUCGGUAAAACUCCCUAAAUAUUUUUGCAGUAUAAAAAACAAUGAAUCAAGGGAAUAUGAAAGACAGAAAGAAUAGAGAUUGUUCUACUAUAUUGUAAAGGAAAGUUAAGUAAAGGCAAAAAUAGAUCACACGAGUUGAAAAACAUUAAUCAAGAUCGGACCCAAGAAUAAAGUUUAUUGAAAGAUUAAGUAUCCAAUUAGAAAAAUGGUAUAAUAUAUAAUUACUCCAUUGGAUUUAUAACACAUUACCUAAUGCACCCUUUCGCUUUACAGGGGUCCUAUGACCCCCUUAUAUGUAUAUUUUUAGUGAAAUUAUUAACUCCUUUUGAGCUUACAUGGCACUUGUUGUGUAAUGCACUUGAUGCCUAAGCAUGAAAAGCUCCAAAAUGGCAUUUUUUCUUUUCGUUUUUUAUAUCUCUUGUUUUCUUUUACCUGUUACUUUAUACCCUUUUAACCAUCUUCAUACAUCUAUAUGCAACUUCCACCAAACUCCCCUCCUUUCCUUUUCUUUUAUUUUCUUUACCUUUUCAAUUUUGUCUUGUUUGUUCUCUGCCUUUGUUUCAAGAAAUAUUUGGAUUUUUUUUGGCCACACAAAUUUAUCGAUGAGACUGGAGUCACCAAAUCAAUUGUUGUCCUUGGAAUAUACACAAAAUUCUGGGCCUUCUAACAUUUUGGCAAAUUUCAUGGCCUCUUUCUAGACUUCCUUUGCCAAUGCUUGGAGAUUGAGAGUGAAAGCUUAUAAAUAAAUAUUAAAUAGAUGCAGACAUAUACAGAAUCAAAUAAGGAAAAAGAACAAUUAUAUUCGUUUUCACAUACUUAAGGGUUUUGAGGAUAUUGGGCUUUGGAUAAAAGGUGGCCGAAAAAUGACAGAACAAUAGCGGUAAUGGGGGUGAUUUUUGAACUUUUAGAUUUUGUGGCGGCUUUUCAAAUCUUCAGAAUUUGAUUUAGUUAUUUGUUUUAUGAUUAUUUUACUUUUGAAGUUCUAUUCUGGUGGGGAUUUAAUGGUGUUUGGUGGUAUCUGCAAUGAAGGUGGUAGCUAUGGCAAUGGUGAUGGUGACUACAGAGAAGGCGACGCUGGUAGUGAAAAAAGGAAUAGUUGAUGGAGAAAAAGAAAAAGAAAAAAUCAAAAAAUAAAAAGAAAAAAAAUUCAAAUAAAAUUGACGUGGCGUCAAAUGAUUGGUGUGUAUGUUCACAUUUAUUUUUGUGAAGCUGAUGCUUGUCUGAAAAAAGGGUAUUUACAUCAUUUAAAACGAUUAUAAGGACUCAUAGCCCCCCUCCCCCCCACCCUCACAAAUUGAAAUGGUGCAUCAGGUAAUGUGCUACAACCCCAAUGGGGUAAUUAUGCAUUAUCCUUAGAAAAAUCUAAAUCAUACAAGAGGAAUGAUAUCCAAUACCUUAUGGUUUGCUACUCAAGAUCGAUGGAAUACCUGUGGUUUGCAACUCAAGAUACAAGGUAUAACUAAUUUAGUUUCAUUAGGAGUAGCAUAAUAGAUUAAGACUUGAGACAUUUUCAUUUUAUUUACUUGUUGGCUUGUAAAUGUUUCUAUAAUUACGUCAAAGGAAAAAAAUAAUAUUUUAUUAUUUUUAAAUUUAAUAUAUAAAAUAUGUCCGGAUUUGGACUUAGGCAUAUGUCCGGAUUUGAAUUUGGAGGUUCAUAGGUUGAUUUAGUAUAUUUGGCGAAAGUUGAAGGUUUGGAAGGAUCAUAGGAUUGAUUGGGAGUUGACUUUCAUGAUAUCAGGUUGGGAUUGAAGUUCUAAGAGUUAGAAUAGGUUCGUUGUGCCAUUUGGGACUUGCAUGAGAAAUUUGAGGUCAUUCCGAGUUUGUUUGAUACCAGUGAAUUGGGACACUUAGUGUUGAUACUCCUACUAUUGAGGGAAUUCCUAGAUGUGUUUUCUAUAGACUUGCUGUGUAUGCCACCCGACAAGGAUAUUGAUUUUGAUUGUUAUUUGGUGUCGGGCACUCAUCCCAUCUCUAUUCCACCGUAUUGAAUAGUACUAGUAGAGUUGAAGGAAUAAUUUCAUCAGUUGCUUGAUAAGGGUUUUAUCAGGCCUAGUGUAUCACCAUGGAAUGCACCAUUACCAUUUGUGAAAAAGAAAGAUAGUUCUAUGAAGAUGUGCAUCGACUACAAGCAAUUGAACAAGAUUACUAUAAAAAAUAAGUACCCACUACCACAUAUUGAUUGUAACGACCCGACUGGUCGUUUUGAGCUUUAGCGCGUUGUUCGGCAGUUUGAGGCCUUGAGUAACUUCACUUCACGUACUAUGACUUGUACAUGUGAUAAGAAUUGAAUUUCGGGAAGUUUGGUGUUGAUUUGGAAAGAAAAUUCUAAUUUCGAAAGCUUUAAGUUAGAAGAAUUAACUAAGGUUUGACUUUUGAGUAAAUGACAUCGGAAUCGGGAUUUGAAAGUUCCAACAGGUUCGUAUGAUAAUUUUGGACUUGGGCGUACAUUCGGAUUGAGUUUUGGAUGAUACGGGAGCGUUUCAACGCCUAUUGUGGAAAGUUGGCAUUUUGGAAGAAUUUCAUAAAUUUGGGUUGAAGUGUAUUUUAAUGUUAUCGAUGUCCGUUUGGAAUUCCGAGCCUGGGAAUAGCUUCGUAUGGUGAUUCUUGUCUUAUGAGCACAGCCGGAUGUGGAUUUGGAGGUCUGUAGGUCAUUUGGAAAAAGUUAGAAGUUGGAGGUUUUUGGAAGUUUGACCGGGAGUGGACUUUUUGAUAUCGGGUUUGGAUUCUGAUUUUGGAAGUUGGAGUAAGUCCGUAAUAUUAAAUGUGACUUGUGUGCAAAAUUUGAGGUCAAUCGGACGUGAUUUCAUAAGAUAUGGAAGUGAGAAGUUCAAUGGUUCAUUAGGCUUGAAUCGAUGUGCAAUUCAUAGUUUUCAUGUUAAUUGGUAUGAUUUGAGGCCUCGAUCAGGUCCGUGUUAUGUUAUGGAGCAGGUCAGUGUGAUUGGACGGGGUCCCGAGGACCUCGGGUGUGUUUUGGAUGUGUUUGGGUUGUAUUGCGCUCUUAUUUGAUGUUUUAACAUCAUUUCUUUGGAUAUAAAGGAUAACAUAUUGAUAAAACAACCUUUGAUUUGUGAUUGAACUGAACCAUUAGAUCCGUAUCGUAAUUACGGAUUCAUAGCAGCAAGAAUCAUCGAAUUCCGAUGUCGUUUGAGAGAGUUAUGUCCAUUUCUGUGUCGGGAAAGAUUGCUCUCCGCGAAUGCGAGGGAGGUCCCGUGAUAGCGAAGAAGGAAAUUUGGGUUGACCGAUCAACGCGAAGAAUUGCUCUUCGCAAACGCGAAAAAGAAAAAUUGCCCGGACAAUGUUUUAAAUCGAGAAUUUUAGUAUUUUGGGCAUAUCAUAAGUUCUAGAGCUCCGUUUCAGGUGAUAUUUGUGGUGUUGUUCUCGUUUCAAUAUUUUUUCUUUUGGUUAUUAUUUUUAUCCGUAUUUGGAUUGUAGAAAGUGGCAUUUUAUGCCCCAAAGUUAAGAAAUAGUAAAUCCUUGAUUUGAUGGUCGAUUCAUGGACAAAAUUAGAUAAGUUUUUGGAUAUAGACCAUAUGAGUUAUAGGUAAAAUUUAUUUUCAAUAAUUUUCAGAAUCCUGGCACGUAGGCCUGAGGGUUGACUUUAUUGACAUUUUGAGCGGAGUUGGGAAUUCUUAUAAAUUGAUUUAUUAUGAGUAUUAGAGUAUAUUUUUAUUGUUUUCACAUUGCUUGACUAUUUUUGAGCGACGAGCACCGGUUUGAGGUGUUAGAGCGGCGUUGGAGCCGGUUAUUGAAUUACAGAGCGAGGUAAGUCUCCUGUUUAACUAUGUGAGGGGGAAAUUGCCCCCUAGGUGUUGUAAUUGAUAUGUAUUACUUGUUGUAGGGGCACACACGAGGUGAUGAGAGUCCAUACAUAGCUACAUUCAUAUUAUUGUCUGGGUAGACUCAGGUUCAUGCCAUGCUAUAACUGUACUAUUUGGGUUAUCUCUUGCUUAUUAAAUUCUUUUACUUUGCAUUACUACUUGAGACUAGAUGGACGUAAAGUGAUAGACUUGCUAUUGUAGAGAUUUGACGAGUUUCAUAAUUAGCUGCUGAAUAAUUGUACUCCUCUUACAAAUUUCUCCCAUGUUAAGCGAUCUCAUUUAAAGGUUUCCUCAAAGCUCCUUAUAACUCACAUGUUCUUUUGUGAGUGGGGUCAAGGACCCAUUAAAGCUUCUUAUUCUAAUGGUAUUGAGCCGUUUGCCUCGGUAGGAUAGAUACAUCUAUGGUUCGUGCCAUUCGACCCUCGACAGGCACAAAUUAUGAUAGGAUCGGGCCGUUUGCCUCGACAGGAUUAUGUACCACACUCUUAUGGGAGCGGACCGUUCGCCUCGGUAGCAUAAUAGAUUUAUCUAUGGUUCAUGCCGUUUGACCCUUGGUAGUGCACAAAUUAUGAUUGGAUCAGGUCGUACGCCUUGACAUUUCUAUAAAAUACUCUCAUGGAAAUUGUGCAUAAUAUCUGACAAGAAGUUAGUGUAUCUAUGAGUCUUCCUGAUUUGAAUUAUGACAACCUAUCUGGUGAGGUCUGUUAUAUAUAUAUAUAUAUAUAUAUAUAUAUGCUCUGGCUGAGGAGGUAAUUACUAAUUGUGAGCUUGAGUCUAUUGUAGAGAGGAUGACCAUAUCACGUAUUUACACUUGUUUAAUUCGUUUAUUUGCUCUACCCCAUAACUGUUUACUUCUUACUGUAUCUGUCUUAUUGGACCACUAGUAAGUGUUGAUGUUGACCCCUCGUCACUACUUCUCUAUGGUUAGGCUAGAUACUUUCUGGGUACACGUUGAUUUAGCAUUCAUGCUACACUUGCUGCACAUUUUUGUGCAUGUACAUAUGUCUGGUGAUCUUUUGGGCGCUGAGGCGCAGCUAUUGCAGGGACUUACCAUGAGCUGCAUUUCAUGUUACGAUCCGCAGUCUGCACAGUCUCCAUCAUAGUUAUUUGUAUUCUCUUGUCUAGUUUGUAUCUCAGAUAGAUGUUGUAUUCUAUUUUAUUUCCUAGUUGAUGCUCAUACACUCGUGAAACCGGAUUUUGGGGGUGCUUAUGGGUUGUCCUUUAUUGUAGUUGUGAAAAUAUUAUCAGUAACCCUGUAAAUUCUAUUUUUUACUAUUUAAUUGAUGAAAAUUAUGAUUUUAGAAAUACUAAAAUGAGUAAUUAAGUUAAACAUUCACUGUUGGCUUGCCUGACGGUGAUGUUAGGCGACAUCACGACCUCUAGUAGAUUUUGGGUCGUGACAGCUUGGUAUUAGAGCCAGGUUCAUUUAGGUCUCAUGGGUCAUGAGUUAGUCUAGUAGAGUCUUGCGGAUUGGUAUGGAGACAUCUGUACGUAUCUUCAAGAUGCUACCUGACUGAUAGGAGCACUUCCCUUUCUUGAUUCCUCAUCGUGCGAUUUGAUUCCUUUGAAGCUUAUGCCUUUAUAUCCUUCUUACAUAUUUGUAUACGAUGUUCAAUGCUCGUAUCAAUUGGGCAUCGAGGAGUUAUAGUGGUACUACAGAUAUGGGUAGGAUGUUUCUCCCUGCGCAUUCGAGCAAGUCAUUAUCGUCUGCUUGCAAAAGGAUGUUCUGUCAUUUCAUCUAAGUAUCUGUGUUUUCAAUAGUUUCGAGGCUGCGCGCAGAUUGCUAUGAUGUUCAGACAUUGUUAUCGCACCGUGUUGGUAUAAUGGUAGGGUUCUUGUUUGUGUGUCGAGGCAGUGAAUGACUUGAAAGGAGGUUAUUCUCAGUGCAUGAUUUAGAGGUUCAACAUUUUAUUUCCAGCAGAGGAAAGGCAAUCAGACUAUGAAUGUUCAGGUUUGGGAUAAUGGAGUAACGAGACUUGGUAUUUUCGAGCAUGGUGGAAUUCUCAAUUGCGAUGUGGUGUCAUCGUCCUUAUUGAACACGUUAAGGUUCACCAAUGUUAUAGUCUUCAUCAAUUUGCCUUCGGGGUAGGGUAGUGUGAAAUGGUGCCGGAGAAGUGGUUGUCAGAGAUAGCAGAGUGUAGCAAUUUUGGAAUCUAAUAGGUAUUUCUAAUGUUGAUGGCUUGAGAAGGAUGAUCGUCUAGGAGGCUUGGAGUUGGUGGCAAUUUAUUAGCUCAAGUGUUACAGAGAUGGAUUUGGAUUUGAGGUAACGAUUGGGUAGCAGAGGACGUUGAAGGACAUGUGGGAGGUGUUUUGCAGUGGUUGAAUUGCUAAAAGGCCAAGUAUGAAAAGCAGAAGUCGAGGAGUUACUUAAAGGAGAGGAUUUAACCAAAGUGAGGCAGUGGUAGAGUAACAUAUGGGUUCUGUGGUAGGAUGGCCACACACCUUGAGGAAAGUUUGGAUCCGUUUGGGAAUUCAUAGUGGGUAGUGACUAGGUCCACGGAUUUUAUUUGGAUGCAACAUGACUUCCAGUUUGGAAUGUAUUGUUGGACUUCAGCUGCUGUCAAUGGGGAAAAAGAAAUCUCGGUGGGUCCCGGGGUUAUGUAAUUGUAGCUUCAAGCUAAGUGGGAGAGCCCCACCGUCUAAGAUUGGAUUGCGUGGUUGUCUACUUGUGCGGUUUCUUGUUAUCGAUGUAUUGGUGGGUUAUUACGACUAAGGAAAGAAAACAUCAUUAGUAAUUUGAGCAAAUGAUUUGAGGAAUGUGUGCUAUAUUUGGCCUUAUCGAUUCAUGUGCAGGUUUUGGAAAGACUCAAAGUUUAUGCUUCAUGUGGAUGUGAUGUACAAAGAAAGGAAUUCAACAGGUUGCUUCUUUGAGAGGGUGUUCAUGUGCUAACAGGGCCUUGGAGUUUGAUUAUAUUCGGGAACAAGUCAGAGUGGGUGACUCUCAACGACGAUCCUAGUGGGUUCAAAAAUUAAGGUUCGGUACCUGAGGAUUUCGAGUACAUGGUAUGGUUAAGUAUCGAGAUUUUGAAGUGGAUUAUGAAAGGGACUUGGAUUGUUCUAUGUUAUUAUCAGUCUGCAGUGCAGCAUUGGGAGAAAUGGGAGAAAAUAACUUCGGAUUUGUAGAGGAAUUAUCAGAAUGAGUGUACUAGUUGAAGAUACGAAUAUGCACAUGUUUACCGUGAAAAUGGUAACAACAAUUAAAUUUGUAAAUGGGAUUCUAAAAAUACGUGAUAUAUUUUUAUGCUAGUUGUUAGAGCGGUUGAUGCUAAGAGUAUGAAGUUUAACGGAGAGAUACAAGCUAAAACGGGGCAGUAAUCAAACCCAGGGGACUUGCUGCCCGAGCUUCGGACUGGUCGAUGAAGGACCUCGAGGGCGAUAUCUGACUCAAUCUCGAGCUAUCGGGGUAACCGAGAAAGGAGAUAACAGUUAAGGUAUGAUCAAACUAGGCUCUUUAUGGCCUAUGCCAAGCAACAAAUGAAGAACAAGUAUGAAAUUAAUAAAUGCUAAAGUGGCCUCGAGCGAGUAAGUUAUCUAGAAGAAAGCGAGAGAGAUAUUAUUGAGAUUGUUUAGAGUAGUUGGAGUUCUAUCCGCCCUUUACAAAGUAGUGUGGGUUCUUCAUAUAUAGGAGGGGAAUCCGGUUAUGGUAGAGCAUACAUUGUAAGGCAUGGAGAUAGGACGACUAGAUGUGAUGCCUCAGCAUAGGAUCUAGGUAGGCCGGCUCUGUCAGACUUAGCCGUGUGCCUUGGGAACUUCCCCUUCUACUCUAGCCUCGACCUUUGUCUUCCUUGAGUUGGGCCUCGACGAGCCCAGAGGGAGGGGACUCGGUUGCAACUCCACGUCCUCGGGAUCUCGAGGUAUUCUUCCGAAGUGGCUUGAUAGCGAGAAAUUAAGUCCUCUAAUUUCACCGCAUACAGCACACAAGGAGGAUAUGAGAUAGUUCUUGGGUUUGAGACAACAUGGUCUCAUGAAAUGGGGUCACUAAGGAUGAUGCAGAUUGAGUUCGUCAUAUUUUGAAUAGAGCUAUUAUUUUUUCUUAAGCAAGUCCAGAGUAAAUUACAAUAAGUUGGUUCAGUUAGCAAUGGUUUACUCGGCAUGAUGGUGGCAAUGAUCAAUUCCCUCAGCGUGUUAAUUUAUACAAGUGAUUUGUGGCAGUACAUGCGAGGCUUGACGACCGUCGUAAUUUGAUUUGUUUUGGAGGCAUUCGAUUAUUAUGGCAUGUUACAUGUAGAUGGAUCCCGAAAGAGUUAUGGUGGUUUAGUCCAGAACUUGAGGUUGGUGUUUUUUGCGGUUAUGGGAAUUCAGUCGCGUGUUGCAAUGGUUCUCCUAAAAUGAGUUAAGUAAAAGGUUUCUAUAUGAUAAAGUGUUUAUUUCACUAGUAGUUCAAGGGUUAUGGUAAAUACGUGUAUUAUCGCAUAGCGACAUGAUGGAUGCAGUGAGUGGCAUUUCGCGGUUCGGUGUUGGCAAGAAUGUCACGAGCUCGGAGGAAGGAAUUCAGACGUUUAGAGUAAGCUAGUAUUUUCUUUAGUGUCACCUGAGAAUGGUGUCCUGUGUAAGAGGCUUAGUGUGCUGAUUUGUGGAUUCUUGAUUUGCUUUACAACAUUAGUAUGGCCGGUGGUAUAGAUGUGCAAACUUGUUGCAUAGUGCGAAAGGUCAUGGGAGCAUAUCCCAUUGGAAGAUUGUAUAAGUGUGACAUGUAGUCACUUGAUUGAUUAAAUAUUGAAACCAAGUAUGGAGAUUGCGGUACUAUCGCUAAUGUGAGAAUUUAUGCCCGAAGGGCGCUCUAUUCAUUUAUUCGUAGAAUGUGGAAGUUUGUUCUGGAUUUGACGGCUGUUAUUGUAUGUCAUGGGGAAAAGGUUAUUGUGGAUCCUUGAAAGGUUAUAAUCCUAGUACGGUUCCAUCAUAAUCAACUUGAUGUCCGUGGAUGGAUCUAUAUGUGAAUGUGUGCUCUAUAUCAGGCCGGAUGUGUUCAUUUCAGCAUAGCAUUGCUUACAGAGAAGUCUUCGGCCUUUGGAUGUUAUUUCUAUCGUAAGCUAUUUCAUGUAGUCUGUAUUGUGCUAUGUGGGUUGUGAGACGGUUCGAUUAUUCGCACACGUAUUGAGAUCUCAUGUAGUUUGUGGUGUUGUGAGAGCAGGAUAACUCUCGAGAUGCAAGUCAUUUAUUGCACCUUAGUCGUGCUUGAGUUUUGUAAUGUAUGGAGCUAUCUAUCUCCCUAGGGAUGAUAUUAUACACUUGGCAUGCUUAUGGUCGACAUUCGGGUAUUUCGUAGGUAUGAGCAUUCUGGCUCGGUAGGUAUUUCCUUAUAGAUUAUUAUGUUAGGAUAGAGUGGCAUGCCGCCAUGGGUAUGUUGUUUGGAUUGGGUGUCACGCCGCCACAGGUAUCAUGGUUGGAUCGGGUUGCACGCCACAAAGGUAUCAUGUGUGGAUCAAGUUGCACACAGUAAUAGUGUGAUGUUGAGUACAGUUCCCUAUAUCUAUUCUUGUGUGUUUUGUUUCUCAUUUCAUGAGGAAGGUUCAAAACAUCUUUUCAGUUGUUUAAUUAGUUAAGUGGGUUGAGUAGUUCUUUCCAGAGUUCAUAUGUCCUUAUGUAUUUGUUUACCUUGAAAAUGAUAAUAACAAUUAUAUUUGAUUUGUAGUUCUAAAAAUACGUGAUUUAUGUUAAUACUAGUUGUUAUAUGAAUAAUGCUAAGUGGAAACGAGCAAGAAAUGAUAAGCAAAUCAGUGUGGUUGUAAGAUUGAGGCCUCGAGCUCGUUGAUGUAGGACCUCGAGGGAGGCCUUUAAUGGAUGAUAAUGAACAAUAAAUGAAUAAGUAAUAAAUUUGUAGAGUAAUUGUUCAGCACGUUUAGGCAAGAAAAGCAGAGAAUGUUCUAUUGUAUUCAAUAUUCACGUGUGAUACAAAAUGACUAGGGUCCCCUUUAUAUAGGAGGGGGGAAUCCCAACAUAGUAUAUGCCUAAAAAUGACGAGGAAAUGCUAUUGGUAUAGCUGUGUAAUGACCUAGUAUGGAUUUGUACUAUUCAUGCAGACCUGGUCAGCUCUAACCACGUGUACUUGGGAGCUUUCCCACCUUUCCAUGAAGAUCAUCGAUUGGUACUGCUUCGAGAUUGACCAUAGUGAACCUUCGAUGUGCUCCCUCGAGGGACUCACCUCGAGGUCACACUUCGCAUUCUGCUUCGAGCUUCUCGGGGUUGAGCGUGGAGUUCCACAGUAGGCCCAAAGUCGAACUCCCCAAUUUUGGCCUUAUACAGAUAGUCCCCAAAUUUCUUAGAAUGAAAUGAUAAGAAAUGAUCUUGAAUUCUUGCCUCUUCGAUACUCCCAUUGACAUUAGCCACGUGAGAUCAUUAAAUGGCGUGAAAAAAAACAUUGUACAGAGGUCUUGUCAAACACGGUUCUCGAAAAGCCCACAAACCGCUAUUGGCCGCCCUUUCAACUCUUCCAACACACUUAGAUGACUCUUAUAAAUAUUCCAAUUCCCCAUCUUGUAAACCUUUACAAUAUCUUCAAGUCUUCUAAUCUUUGUUAAUAGUUUCAUGUCUUCAUCCUACUUCUGUGUUCACUUUUUCGUCAGCUUACUUUGAAACUUUGCUGUAACCUUGGCAAAAAUUUCUAAGACAGUACCUCAAAAAGAGGAAGCCCCUUAUUCGUCACGCUCGACCGAGAGUAAAAAGAUAGCGCCUCCUCGUAUUGAAGAGUGUAUUCCUGGGCCCUUCGAUACAUCCUUCGAUUUCAAAAUUGAAAAACCUUCUUCGGUAUCGGGCCGAUGCGAGUCCAUGUCUCGGUACAUUAGUCUUAUAGCCGACAUAAAGAAAGUGAAAAUAGAUUGUCUUGGGGAGAGGCAGUACAAGUAGAGAUCCCUUCAUCGGAAGAGGAUAUAACCACACACAGAGCUGGUUUCCUUAGCAAAUAUAUGCUUCCCUUUACCUUAGGUCCUGUAGAUUCUUCUUCUCCACCGAUAGUCCUGGUGAUCCUCGAUUUUUUCCAAUAGUAUCGAGUGAAGGUUGGUCAAAUUUAUCCCUCUUUUUGUAGAAUCGUCUAUUUGAUUAGAUAUUUCUUGAACAUGGUCAGGGGGAUGAAUUUCACCCUCGAUCAUCUGAUUAGAUUGUAUAGCCCUCGUCUCUAUCGACGGGGCCUAGUCAAACUGCGGUGUAGAUCUACCAAAGCAUUUUUUGCCAGCAUUGAUGAAGAUAAAGACCGGGGGUGGAUGAGCCGCUUUGUUCGAGUUACGACUUCGGAUCUCAUUCCUGCCGAGAAGAUGCCAUUCUCUAAGGAAUGGACUAUGAGACAUAAGUGUCGUUACACCGAACAUGUUUUAUAAUCUAAAUGUCCCAUUUUCCUCUUUCGAACUAAUUCCUUUCUUGUUUGAAUGGAUUUUCUUCCGGAUACAUGGCCACCGUGUGGUUCCCCGAUGCGGUCAAGUACCUCCAGGGCUGGGUUAAACUCUUAGACUCUGCCUCCUCAUAUGAGAAGCGUGUUUGGCAUGAUUUGGCCAAAACUCGAUGGGAGGCCAAAAAUCAUGGUACGCUCUCACCCCUGUCACUUCUAAAUUCCUUAUAAAUAGAUUUCUUGGUGGUGUGUUUGCCAUUUUAAGCUUGUGCAGGCCUCGGAGAAGCCGUUUCAAUUAGACCGCUUCCUUCUAGUGAAGAGGAGACCCAAAGACCCGCCAAAGAUAGAAAGAGAAAGAAGUAGAUGCUGGUGGAGUCCCCGAAACCAAAGAAAGCUAAUGCUCGAAAGCCUAGGGCCGAUGCAACAGUCCUAACUCUGGAAGCUGCUGAAAGUCUUCGUGCUGAAGAUGAAGACGACGAUGGUUUCCCUCUGGUACAUAAGGCAAGACGAUGCGCUGAUGCUUCGAAGGUUGUCGGGCAGAAGAUUGUCGAGUCUGAGGUGGCCGAUGCAGUCCCACCUCGUAUUCAGGAGACCAUAGAGGAGGGUUUGGAUGCAGUACCCGAGCUGACCACUGGACAUGAGACAACUUCUGUCGAUGAGCACUUGGCUGGCGCAUUCGGAGGAUCCAGCUCUAAGGCCCUUCGAGGGCGAGAAGAAGCCCCGAUAGGGGUUGACGUCAUAGGAGAUCUUCAAUUAGGACCAUCGUUUUCCCUAGGGCAAAUACGAGAUUCCUAGAAUCGGGAGACUCCCGAUGUGGGGGCAUCCCAGGGAGGGGAUGAGGCAUUUGGAGAUGUUUUUGCCGAUGUUGAAGUGGAUGCUGAUCUCGAUGCCCAGUCGUCCUCGAGGAGGCUACGAAACUCCAAAAACAUGUGAUUUUUGACAUAACCUUUAUGCCUUGAGUUUUGAUCUUUGUUUUUCUAACUUCAUUCUUUUGUGCUAUAGGUCACGAUGCUGUAUGACCAGGCCUUUUCCAAGUUAAGAACUGAACUGACUCAUUGUGAGGAGGAGUUCAAGAAGCUUGCUUCAGAGUCGAAAUAGCUAAAAACACUAUACGCCUGAAGGGAGGAGGAACUGAGCAUCAUUCGAGAAAGCUCGGAGAAAGUGCUCCAAGAGCGGGCCAACUUCAUCGAGCAGGUAGUUCGGUAUUCAUGAGCUUGCUUUUUGUUUUCAUACUUGGUAUUUAUGACCUUGACUCGACAUUUGCAGAUUGAGCGCAAGGAUGCCCUAGCGGUGCAGCUUCAGGAAGAGAUUGCAGCCAAAUAUAUCGAGAUCCUUGAGCUAAAGCGGUACAAGGAUAGCAUGGCCUUGGAAAGGGAUACUCUUCGAGGGGAGCUGGCCUCGACCCAGAGUCUUCUUCAAGAUUCUAAAGAGGAGGCUCACAAAUUCAAGGUGCUUCAUGCUGAGUCAGCUGCCGCGUUAUCAAUGGCCAAGUUUGAAGUUGAAUCACUCCUAUCCUCGUAUCGAGAUGAUGCUGAUGUAGUGAAUACUCGAGCCAUGGAGAUAUCUGAAGAGACCGAGCUCAAACUGGCUCGCGCCCUUGCACAUGCUUUAUUAAAAGCUCGGAGGCAGGCCUUUGAGGAAGUGCAUGCCAAGGGUUUCGAUCUCUCUACCGAGAUCGAAGAAGAGAGGCUUUGGAAGAGGAGUCAGAAGCUCUGACUACUUUGGACGAGGGCUCUGCGAGCAGCUUAGGGAGUGGCGAAGAUGAAGACUAGGUCACCUUUGCUCUUUUUACUUCUUCUUCUUUUGUAUGUGGACUCCGUGUGGGAGUUUUGUAAAUGCACCUUUGUAAAUAUAUUUUUGGAAUGAAAAGGAUUUUCUUUGUUUAAUGUCUUCGAAGUUUUCCUUUUAGUGUUCAUUCCGAAGUCAAGCUUUGAACUUGAAUUUAACUUCUUCGAGCUUGGUCUUAGAGACCCUUAAUAUCGGGUUGUUCUGGUUUCAAUCGCAUACCUUCCCUAGGUCGGGUUGGUAGGGAAUCGAUUUUACUCCUUGAUGCCACGAACACAGUGUGGUGACAUAAUUCUUAUGACAUGACCGUGAAGUGACCGAAAUGGCCUUGUCGGUACAUUUCCAAAAAAGUCAUAAUUGCAUUGUGAGAGCUAAUUGGCUAUCAAAGUUAAUGAAUAGUCGCCGCUCUUCUUAUAUAUACUUGUUUUCCUUUCAUUGGGGGCUUUGCCCUUUGUGCAACUAUCUUUCUCUAUAGCGUUCCUUUUUUGCGCUAGUUCUAGCACCGCAUCAGAUCAAAGCUUUUGCCUAGUUUUUCAUCUUCCCAUUCUUUUUUGAAGGAGCUAUGGCUACCAUGCCCAAAUUCGCUCACCAAGAAGAGGGAAGUCCCACCUCUACUUCCCGCCUAGCCGGUGGUACACCGCUGGCGUUUGGCGAACUAACUUCGAACUAUUUCGUCUCGAUGAGAGAUUUUACGAUAGAGGAAUCUCUCUAUUCCGGGCCAUCAAGAACGUGCAUCGAGGUUCAUUCGAUCAAUAGAGGAGAGACACCUCGAGGCUGUAAGGAGAGACUGCGGACGGGGAGAAAAGGUGAGGCUGCAGGUACCCUCCUGAGAAGAGGAUAUUAUGGCCCACGUAGAGGGAUUUCUGAACGUGUAUACGUACCCUUUUACAUUGGGUCCUCUCGACCGACUCGUGCUCGAAUUAUGUCGAAGAUAUCGAGUUACUUUGGCUCAAAUCCAUCCGUCUUUCUAGCGGAUUAUGUUGAUGAUGAGAUUUUUUGCUGAAAAGGGUGAGCUCGAGUUCACUCUCAGCCAUCUUAUCAGAUUGUAUCAGCUUUUACAUCAUCGAGGUCUAAUUACACUACAACACCGAUCCACCAAGCCCUUUAUUGCCAAUGAUGAUGAGGACAGGGAUCAAGGGUAAAUGAGUCGGUUUGUCCGAGUGAGGACUAUUGACAUUAUUCAUGCCGUUUCCCAAGAAAUGGAAUUUCAAGCGUAAGUGAAAUACUAUACUCUAUUAUUUUUGUUAUUGGUGGAGCCUGACUCUAUAAGGAAGUUUUCUUUCCUUUUCCGCAGCGAUCCCAUGGAUUCCAAAUGAGGUACCCGAUCUUGCGGACUGGGCCCGCAAACUGGCGGCCUCUUCGACUUAUGACGAGCAUAAUUGGCGAGAUUUGUCGAAAGGCAAAUGGGAGGCUAAGCAUCAUGGUACGUGCUAUGUAGUCCUUCUCUCGAGGAGUACUUUCCCUUUCGUACAGUAAUUUCUUUAUUGCAGGCAACAAUGAGUUUUAUGAGGUGAGACCGUCCCCUUUUGAGGAGGAUAAAAGGCCUUCAGUUUUUGAGACUGAGAAGGAUAAUAAAAGUAAAAGGUCCUUGAAGGACGAGGAUUCCCAUAGCAAAGCAGGAUCCGCUCGGGGGCGCGAGUUGGACGUUGCCGCUGACGAAGAUCUCAUUUUUAUCUGUUAUUCUGUGGACAUCAAUGCACUCGGAGAGGAUGACUCCACUUUGAUGGCUCGAACCAGGAGGUCUCCCAAGACUGUUGAGCCUGUUGGGUUCAAGACCCCUAGUCUCGAGGGAGAGAUUCCACAAGAGAGGAGGGGUGAAGGUCCUUCAUUACCUGAUUUGGAGCUGGUUCUCGGACGUCGGGAAGUACUCCAAGAGAAAUGGGCUUCGGUGCAUCUCCGCCCAAUCAGAGUGCCUUGAGUUGCUCUACCGGGGCUGAUGAGACCGAGCCGGUAGAUGAAAAAUCGACCUUCGAGAAGGCUCAACGAAUCUACUCUAUGGUGAGUUUUGAAGUCAAUAUAACUUUUCCAACUUCAUUCUUUCUUCUUUUUAAUUGAACCUUUCUUUCUCAUAGGCCUCUGAUAAGCUCAAGUUUGAGUUGCUUCGCUGUGAAGUUAAGUUGCGUAAAGCCUUGAAUGGGGAGAAUCUCUCAGGCUUCUUUGUGAUAAGAAGACAAGAGAGCUGAUACAUCUUCGAUCGGAGUUGGACUAAAGUCGUGAUUACAAAACCAACCUCGAGAAACAGGUAACCUAUAUUUUGAGGGAAUACAGGCUUCUUCUCCCAUCUUUGAAAACUAAUGUUUCGGUAUCUCAGUUGCAGAGAAAGACAGAGACGCUGGAGCACCUUCGGGGCAAAACAAACUAGGUUAAUUCUGAAUGCAAUGACUUGAAAGCACAAAUAGAUGCUCAUGUUGCAGCCAAAAGGAAUGCUUUGGCUAAGGCCUCCGCCCUCGAGAUACAACUUCGUAAUGCUCGAGAAAGCAACUCGAUCUAGGUGAGCAUGGUUGCUAAGCUUGAAACAGAUCUUUUGAAUAUUAAAGCCGAAGUCGUGGACGCUCGAGCUGAAGUCGAAGAGGUCCGAGCAAAGGCCGAUAAGAAGGUAGCCAUCUAUCUGAAAGAUGCUGCUGAAGGUCGUACAAAGUUGAGGGGGACUUCCGAUAGAGAGAUAAGAAGCAAUGAAUAUGCCCGAUGCAAAUCCCGGAGGGAAACUCUCGAGGAGAUUCAUGGUAAGGUCUUCGAUCUCUCGGAGGAGAUAGAGCAUGCCAUGGAGGACGAGUUCGACGCCAAGUUCCUCAUUUUCGUUGCUGAAGACAAUAAGGAGGAGGCCGGUGAGGGAGCUAGUCCUGAGGAAGCCGAUGGAGACAUAGUCCCCGAGGGGGAAAAGGCUAAGUUUUCGAGGGUAGACUAGGUUUUUCUUUCUUGUUCUUCGUAUAGGGCUCCCUGUGGGAGUGUUGUAAAAGUAAUUUUGUACCAUUAUUUAUAAUAAAAAAGGAAACCUUUGGUUUUUCCUUUAUAUGAAUUUCUACUUGCUUGUGUCUUUGUUUAUGUUUUGAGUGUUGAUGCUUGUCGAUAAUUAGUCCGAUAUGUUGGACUUUAAGAUAGAAACCCUUAGGUUGUGCUUGAUGAGUAAUUGAUAAUAGUUGACCGUUCAGGGCUCGGUCCUUGAAUCAAGUUUUGACUCAGGCUCAUUGACCCUUAGGCUUUUUAGGCCGGCCCUUAGGCUCUUAUGCAUUGGCCCUUAGGCUCUUUAGGCUGGCCCUUAGGCUCUUACGCAUUGGCCAUUAGACACUUUUAGAUUGGGUUGAUGCGACCUCUAAUAUGGCUAUAGUUUUCCCCAUUUCGGCUGAAGACUUUGAAGUUUUGAUUAUGGCUUGACAUGUUUUGUGUUCGUCCGAAUCUUCGAUGACUCAAAUAAGAACCUCGAUUAUGAGUCGAUAUGUGACGAUAAUUGAGUACUUCGGGAGGUUCUCCUGAAGGCUGAUUUUUUCGAAGCCUUUUUGCUGAAGGCUGAUUGUCUCGAAGCCUUUUCAUGUUUUAGAGAUGAUAUGAUCGAAGCUCCUUUGCUUAUGCUGGGGGUAUCCUGAUUAACUAGUUCUUUUCGAAGUAUUUGAAGGCCUUUAAUUUUAUGGCGGCGGUUGGAUGUCUCUGAGCCGCGUUAAUUUGGACGGAGCCUUUUGAUAUGACUAGGAGUGGAAAAUGGGUGGGUCGGGUCGGAUAUGGUUCGGGUCCAAAACGGGUAAUAAAAAAAUGGGUCAAUUAUCCGACCCAACCCAUAUUUAAUACGGAUAAAAAAUGGGUAACCGGCGGAUAAUAUGGGUAACCAUAUUAUCCAUGAAUUCUUGCAUAUGAUCACUUUUGGGAGAAUUCUUAGUCUCCCUAACUUGAGGACCCAAUUUGAGACUUUACAAAUGUAAAAGUUAGACCCAUUAGUUAUCCAUUAGUUACUCAUUGGUUAUCCAUUUUAUNNNNNNNNNNNANNNNNCAUUAUCCAACCAUUUUUAGUGGUUAACAGAAUUCCUUAUCUAGAAUUUUUGGUUCCGUAGACUUUUAAAAUAAAGUCGAUUUUCCUCGAUUUAGGAUUUUAAAAUAAACAGGUGACUUGGGACACCAAAUAAACUAUUCUAAGUGGCGACUCUGAUAAAUUAAAUAAAUAAUCCCAUUUUGGAUAAUGUCACCUCAAUUGGAAAAACUCCCUUAUAUCCGCCCUCGGGGUAGUAAAAAAGGAGGUGUGACAGCUCUGACGACUCUGCUGGGGAGUGUAACCCAGAACUUUUGGUUCAGGGUUCAAGAAUUUAAACCUAGAAUAACUGUUAUACUUGGCUUUAUUUAUUAUCUGAUUUUUACAUGUUUGAACCUAAUGUGCUAAAUGCCGCUUUUUACCUCUUUGAUAUUGUUUGGACUAUAUAUAAACUGUUAUGAAAUUCUUCUUCUCUCUGAGUCUUCUAAAUCAUCUGGGAAGUGUGCACUUCGUGUGACUUCUUUUCUGUUAGAGUCAUAUCCCAAUUUUAGAAUGAGGUUCGGAUAAGUUGCAAAGCCGGUGAAGCUUCUGUAUUCUCGGUACGCUGCCCCCCUCGUCUCGAGCUGGCCACUCGGGUAAGCCAAGUCUACAAAAAUACACACAAGUUUUUAAACCUAGAAUAACAUAGCCUCAUGUUGGAUCCCUAGUAGGAACGUUUGUUUGCAUUAUGUACAUCUGACUUUGCGGACUCAACACAGGGGUUAGGUCCGUCUAGGACAGGUGUACCCAAAUUAAAAAGACCAUCCUGAUGCAUCUUACGUGCUACUUGCGCAUCUAUUUGUUUCGGCUUGCAUGUUGACCGGCUUCUAGAAUAGGGAAAGAAAAUAAAAAAAAAUCAAAAUAAAAAACAAGAGUGAGAGGUAGGUAUUUGAAAAAUUUCGAAACUCUACCGAAAUUCUGAAAAAAAAAGGGAAAAAGAAAAAGACAAGGUCAUUUCAAAAUGAGCCCAAAAUGUUCAAGUGUCAUGUUUCCCUGUUCCGUCAAAAUUGAGCGAACUAUACGGGUCUGAUUCUCACCGGAUGUGAGAUACGUAGGCAAACCUCAUCGGUUCCGAUCCCAAUUUUCAAAAAUCCGAAAAUAUUUUCCUUUUGUUUUUUCUUUAGAAAUCUUUCCUUAGAAAAUUCAAAAAAAAGCUGAAGUUUUUUAAACUCAAAAAAUGGUUUUCUUCUUUCUAAAGUCUUUCGUAUGAAAAAAAGAAAUAAACGAAAAUCAAUAAAAAAAUCAAAACCCAAAAUACAGGUUUCCUUUAUUUUGAAGUAUUUAUCCCAAAAAAAAAAUCCAAAAGAAAUCAGAAAACAAAAAUCCAAAAAAUAAUAAUUCUUUUCCUUUUUUAAAGGUCUUUCUUUCGUAAAAGGGUUAGAGAGAAGCAAAAAUGAUGAAUAGAGGUGCAUAAAAAAGGGUUAAUUAAGGCCGGGAAGAAACAAGCAACUCGUUCAAACACAUAGUAGAAACGUUUAACUGUUUAGGUGCAUUGCAUCCCGAUAUGCGAUUUCCUAUCUGUUAAGCAUCUCAAAACUAACAAGGUUGUUGGGUAUGCAAGAUAACUAGGUCCUGUUCAGGUAGUUGGUUUUGUUGGUAAUUUGGCUUCCGAUCCUUAAUUCAAAACAACGGAAAGGUUCCUACGGCCUCUGAAAACCAUCUACAUAUCAUCGAUCCUGAGGAUAUCCCAGCACCGACUAUUCUACUACUAGAAUUAGCGGCUGCUGAAGAGAAUAUGAUGUUGUGUCUCCGCAUAUCGGAAAUGUGGGUCGCCUGGUCUAAUGGUAGGGAACCUCCAAGUGCAAUUCCUGAGUUCCCUGAGUUAAUCCCCAGGUCAGGUGAGGUUACCAACGUCCCUGUGCCCAACCCCCUCAUCCCAUGCGAGCACCCUCUAAUGCCCUCCAAUGAUCCUGGCAUGACUUCUGUGGUUCGCCCCCAGGCACCGGCUUCAAGGGCACCGCCUCCAAUAUUCAUCUUUCAGGGUCACAGCUUCAACCAGAAAUAAUAUAUGUGACCCCAUACUCUUUCACUCAACCUCCGCAAUGUGAUCUCUUGGUGGAGCAAGAAAAGGUCGUUAAAAUUCCUGAGCAAGAGGAAAUGGCUCGGAAGAUGAAGAGCCUAGAACAAAGGAUGAAAAACAUGCAAGGACUGAGUGGCCAAAAGAGUGUCUCAUACUCUGACCUCUGUAUGUUUCCCCAUGUCCACUUGGCAACUAACUUCAAGAUGCCAAAAUUUGAAAAGUACAAUGGGCACGGAGACUUGGUCGCUCACCUGAAACGAUAUUGUAACCAGUUGAGAGGCCCUGGUGGAAAAUAUGAGCUACUAAUGGCCUAUUUUGGGGAAAGCCUCACUAGAAUCGCUUCUUAGUGGUAUACAGAUCAAGAAAUUACCCAUUGGCACGUGUGGGACGAUAUACCCCGUGAUUUUGUCAGCCGGUUCCAAUAAAAUGUGGACAUCACUUUCGAUAGAAACUCUUUGUCCAAUUUGAAAAAGAAAAUCGCGGAAAGAUUCUGUGAAUAUGCCGCCAAAUGGCGUGAGCAAGCUGCCAGGGUAAAGCCACCAAUGGACGAAAUUGAAAUGGUCGCAGUUUUUCUACAGGCCCAAGAGGCUGACUACUUCCAGAACAUGAUGUCUGCUGUGGGUAACCCAUUCGCUGAGGCUAUCAAUAUUGGAGAAAUGGUUGAAAUUGGUUUAAAAACAGGUCGAAUCUUGGGUCAUGCUACUUUCAAGGCCACAUCACAGUCUGCUUAGAAUGGUUCAGAGGGUUUGAUGAACAGAAAUGGGAGUGAAGAGGGAGCCAUGAUGGUUUCAAGCUCGAGGGGGGCCAGUAGGUCAUUCAGCCAGUCAUAUGUGCCUCCUAUCAUCCUACCACACUAUUAUCCCCUUUAAGAUGCUGCUUAUGCCAUGGCACCGCCUCCCUAUGAGGUGAUGAACGCACAACCUUACCCGCAGCCACAAUAUUAUCCACAAAACCGAGCUCCACCUUGCAGAAAUGCCCAUCCUUACCAAGCUCCAUAUAAUCAUCAACCAAAUGUUAUCCAGUACAAUCCUCGCCCAAGAGAGCCUUUCAGAAAGAAUCAGUUCACCCCUAUUGGUGAAUCAUAUUCAAGCUUGUUCCAAAGGCUAAUCAGGCUAAAUCUAUAGUAGCCAAUGGCCCCGAACUGGCCAAACCUAGAGUCCCCCUCGCACUGAGCUGAUGCUAUAUGUGAAAACCACUUUGGAGCAGUGGGACACAUUACAGAUGACAUUUAGACCCUUGAAGAUUUGAUUGAAGCUAAAGAAUUGUUUUUUGGGAUGAAGAAGCUCCUGAUUUGAUGAACAAUCUGUUGCCUGCCCACAACAUCGGGCCAAUAGUCGGAAUGAUUUAUGAAUAUGAGGAAUUUGAUCCGGCACUGAAGGCCAUUGCAGCCAUUGCUGAGACAGAAGAAAAGUCAAAAAAUGGUCGCCAAGCCUGAAAGUUCCCUAUCAGAUGGGAGUCUCGGUAGCCAGUCUUGCUAUCCUUUCUGCAUCCGGGUUAUCUCAGGGUGUGAUCCGGACGUUUUACUUUAUUGUCUUACUUUCCGAUGUAAAUCCUUCUAUCUUUAAAUUCAAAAAAAAAAUUCAAAUGAAAUUCUUCUAGGUAUGUCUCUUUUCUUAAUCUUGUCAUUUUUCUUAUUCUCUUUUUAGUUCUGUUAAAUGCAGAUUUCAAUAACAUGACAUGCUUGCGGACUUCAUGCCCAGAUCCUGAAACGUUGUCAGACCUCGAAGUAAUGAAUCAAGAAUUAGAUCGCAAUGAAGAUAAGUUUAAGGAAAUAAAACAAAGAGUUGGAACAGCUGAAGGAAAAUUGGUUCUAGAUUGGAAAGGUCCAUACAUUGCAACAAGAGUACUGCCAAAAGAGUGCGUUCUACUUGGGACACAUCAAAGGAAAUGUCCCUGAAAUAACUGUCAAUGCAAAUACAGUCAAAAGGUACUAUGUGAGAUCCUCUAUGUAGCAUUACUUUUCUCCGAUUGGGAUGAAAAAGGCUUUCUUUCUCACUAUUUAAAUAUUCAACCCUUUGUAAACCAUUUGAGCUGGUUACUCUUCUUUGAUUACCCUCUUUGGAACCUGAAAGUAUUAUUGAAAUUGUUUUUUGAAAAAAUGAAAUAAAAAAUGAAUGAAAAGGGGAGAAAAAGAAAGAUACAAAAAAAGAGGGGAAGAAAAGACAAAGAAAAUGAAAUGAUUAAAAAAAGAGAGGAAAAAGAAAAGAAAAAAAAUGAGAAAACAAAAAAAAAAUAGAAGAAAAAGCAAAAGAAAAGAAAAACAAAAAAACAAAGUUCCCUGAACUAUGUUCGACUUGAUUCCGAAAGGAUACGUAGGCAGCCUUUCUCUGGGGUUCAGUUACACGAAAAUAAAAAUCAAAAGUUUCCCAAAAAGUGAAAUUGGGGUAGAUCCAAAUCCUUUUUUAUCCAAACCCUAUUUAAGUCCUUCCAAUAAAUCGGUGAUAUUGUUCAAGGACCGAAUAAUACAGUUACUUGGAUCCGAUACAGUCAAAAUGAGAGAAAUAAAAUGAGAGAGUCUUAUUGGUGAAAAUCCACACGGGUACCGUGAGGUGACAAUAAGCAAAGAAAUAAAAAUGAGCAAGUCUUGUUAGUGAACACUCGCAAAGAGCACCAUGAGGCGAUGUUGAGAAGAGAAAUGAGAGAGGUCAGCUCGUGAAAACCCGCAAAGGGCGCCCCUAAUCGAGAAAGGAUCCUCAUAGCCAUCGGCAUCGAUAGAGUCCUGGCAAGGUUUCUCGAUUUUGAGGCAAAGGUUGUGAUGAAUUUCUAAGAGUCAGAUGGUUUACACAAAUAGGAAUCCAGUUCAAAAGGCAUGUCAUGUUCAUUGAAGUCCGCAUGUGCUCUAGAUAAGUCCUUCUUUCCUUUCCCCGAAAGGGAUACUUCUUGUUUUAAGCUCAUUUUCCAUUCCAUUGCGUGUUUUCUUUAAAUCCCUUUCGGUCUAACUCUGUUCUGAAAAUAAGACAAAGAAAGGAUGGUAAGACUGAUUUACAGGGUUCUCGUUUGAUACAAGCUAAUAUGCAAAAAGGCACCCAGCCUUGUCAGGGGCAUAAGUCGGCCUCGACUGACCAUGGUGGCCGAUNNNNNNNNNNNNNNNNNNNNNNNNNGCCAAGGUACCCAAAAUGCUCUGAAAUUGUAAUUAGAAGAACGAAGCCAGAAAUGAAAGGCCUAUGAAUGCGAAACAAAGUUGAAAAAUAUCAAGCCCCAUGCGACUAGCCGUUGCGACAAAGUUUGAGAAGAAAAACAAACAAAAAAAAUAAAAAAGAAGAAGAAGAAGAAAAACAACAAGUCAGAAGGGAAAGGCCUACAGAGGCAAAAUAAAGUCGAAAAGGGUGAUUCCUACCGACCAACUGUCAUGGCAAACUCUGGAAAAACCAGAGGUUCUCUAGGGCCUGAAAUAAAAUCGGUCCUCAAGGAACAAGCAGUCGCAGUUAAGAUUUUCAUCAAAGAAGUUGGGCCGAGAUCAAGUGAUUGAAAUAAUCAAGGCUACAAAACCAACCAUCAUUUUAAACUAACAAUUGUUCUUUGUUUGAAAAUAGGAAACGAGUGCAAUCCAAAAGCAACCUUGCAAGAAGCAGGUGCGACCAAAACGAAACUGCACAAGAGCUUGAAGCAGCUUUGCCGCAACAAUCCAAAAAGGGAAGUCCCUUCCAAAAUUCUUUCCUGCAUUCACUCAUUCCAUGAAAUAAAAAAAUAAGAAAAAUUCAAAAUUAUGAUAGCCUAGGGUCCCCAAUCUCUAGCGUCAUUUUUCCAACAUAGGGUCUCAUCCCCUAAUCGCUUCCAACAUAACCUGGUAGUCUUUUCCAUUAUAGGGUUCCACUGCCUAGUUUAUCCCCGGCAUAACUCGAGGACCUUUUCCGGCAUAACCCGAUGACUUUCCCGGUAUAACACGUGGACCUCCCUGGCAUAACCCGAUGAUCUUUUUUCUUUUUCGGCAUAACCUGAUGACUUUCCCGACAUAACUCGUGGACCUCCCCGGCAUAAUCCGAGGAUCUUUUUUCUUUUCCGGCAUAACCCGAUGACUUUCCCGGCAUAACCCGUGGACCUCCCCACCAUAAACCGAAGAUCUUUUUUCUUUUCCGGCAUAACCCAAUGACUCUCCCGGCAUAACCCGAGGACCUUUUUAUUUUUUUCCGGCAUAACCCGAUGACUUUCCUGGCAUAACCCGUGGACCUCCCUGGCAAAACCCGAGGACAUUUUUCUUCUCCGGCAUAACCCGAUGACCUUUCCGGCAUAACCCGGUCAUUUUCUGGUAUAACCUGGUAAUUUUUCCAACUUAGGGCCCCCGAUCCCUAGUUGAUUUCAUAGGGCUCCACUCCCUAAUCUAUUUUUCCCAAGGAUACACAAUCCUGAUUUUAUUGCUUUCAAUAAAGAAGUAGUUUAGAGUUUUGUUAUAAUAACUCACAGAAUUUUCCUAGUGAAAAUUGGGACAGAAAAUUUUUAUUCGUUUGUUUGUUUUGGUGUCUGAGCAGGUAUUUACCUUGAGGCACAAGUUUCAAGACAACCAAAAGAAGAAGUCUCAAUCCAAAUAAAAGAAAAGAAAAAUAAGAAAAGAAGUUGAACUCUAAGUGUAGAAGCAGAGAAAAGAUGCGGACUGCUCAAAACAUGAUUGAAGUCACAAGCUUUGCAUGUCCCGCCUUGAUCCGAAAAGCUGAAGAAAAAUGACCCAGCGUUCGCAGCUAACGAUCAUCAAGAUUCAGAUCAGAGUCUGCAGGAAGAACCAACCAAGACUCAAAAUCAAGCUUCAGAAAACUCAUAGAUAAGAAUCUUGUAACUCGUAGCUGAUAGACUUAGUUAGUCUUUUUCAUUUUUGACUUUGAUGUAAUAACAGGACUGCAGACCGAAACCUCGACGGCAACUCAAUCGGCUCUCCAACCCAGUACUCCAUCACUUUUCCUAAUUCUGAACUAUAGGUGGACUGAUUCCUUUAUAGUCAAGGAUAUGUAGGCAACUCAAAUACCAGGGCUCGGUCACAUUCUCCUUUCUCUUAGUUUUUGGUCUCUCUAAAUAAGGGUCGGGUCAAAAGAUAUGUCUCGUCAUUCUUUGUCUGAAAACUCUUCGCGUUUUCAGUCAAAGAGGGGCAGCUGUAGACAUAUAAUUUUUGACCCUCCCAAAGAUUUUACACAUUUUAGCGUAAAAUAUUUAGUGUAGGUUUAAUAUCGUUAUUUUAAAUAGUUUUGACUCUUUUACUUUAAUUUAUCAAACAAAAAAAAAUUAGAAAAAAUAAAAUAAAUAUUUUCAUCUUUAGGUUAAAUUCAAUUAGUAUAUUUAUACUUAUAGUAUUAUAACAUUUGAAAAUACAAAAAAAAAAUAGUUUCACUCGUAGUAUUUAGUUUUAUAUUAGUUUAUUUUUAAUUUAGAAUGAUUUUUACAUUUUUAUAGAUACAUUGUAUUAUUUGAUCUUUUUAGCCUAAGUUCAAACCCAAAAGACAUUGUCCAACCCAAUUACCCUUAGCCCAUUCUUCCCAACCCAUUAGCCCACUUAAGUGCAAGAUUUAAUCCUAGCUAUCUAUUUCCUUCUAAUCCAAUGGCUACCAUGUCUUCCCACCUCCAUAUAAAAUAUCCAAUUAUAGAAACCCUACCCUAAGUUUUCAAUUCCAAGAACCUACACCCCAAUUCCCCCACUUCAACCACAACUCCCAAGAUAAUUCUCCUAGCCUUUCCAUUAUCCUCUCCAACGCAAUCUGUCACCCUACUUCCUAAAAACAAAGAAAACUCACAAUAAUCUUUAAGACUCCUAAGCUUUAGCAGACCAAAAAGUAAAAGGAGAUCUGGACAAAGAACAAAAAAAGAUGGCACAAAAACGAAGAUGAGGUAAAGAGCAGAGUGAGAAUAAAAAAAAAACAGAUCUAAAGAAGAACACAAAAAAUGAAGCUCACUUUCUCUUGUUCCUCUAAUAACACUCCAAACCCAGCAAAAUUAGUCCCAUAAUACACCUCAAUCUCCUUGAAAAGGCUCCAAAAUUCAGCUCGAAAUCGACCCAAAAUACUGUCGUCAGAGAGGUUCACGGUUUGCGAUUUUUGUUCAUCGUUGGAUUUCAAAAGAAAUGAAGUCAGCCUUUAUAUUGAAAUUGGAUUUUUAGAUCUGAAUUUGUAAAUUCGCUGGCUACAUAUUCUUAUUAUUAAAGAAAGAUUUCUUUGCUAAAGGUCAUUAUUUCUCUCCCCUUUCUUUAUUUAUCUUUGUAUUUGCUAUAGUUUUCCAUGUCUGUUAUGAAAAUUGAAGUUUAAACUCUUCCCAAUGACGCGAUCAUCUUCUGUUUGGGUCAUAUAUUUGUUUAUUCAUUUUUCUUUCCUCCAUUUUAAUAGUUAGGCUAGAUUUCAAUGUAAAUAUCUUACAUUUUGGUUUGGGUUUAAAACAUUUUGGCCGGUUAUGGAUAAUUUAGGCGUUAAGAUUUUCUUCCUAUUUACCUUAUGAUGCUUUACUCUUCUGUUGGUUUAAUUUAAUUGUUCUCUAAUAGUUGUAGAUACAUAUUUAAUUUUGAUUAAUCUUAGAGUUUAAG
RNAcentral lists this long non-coding RNA (27901 nucleotides) under Nicotiana tabacum (common tobacco). Its description in RNAcentral is "long non-coding RNA (NTAB_LNC009703)". The record is from RNAcentral. Lineage: Eukaryota; Viridiplantae; Streptophyta; Magnoliopsida; Solanales; Solanaceae.